This 440-nucleotide ribosomal RNA is filed under the name uncultured bacterium. RNAcentral describes it as "partial 16S ribosomal RNA". It matches the Rfam family "Bacterial small subunit ribosomal RNA", at positions 338 to 795 of the family's 1533-position model. The record is from RNAcentral.
CCUACGGGAGGCAGCAGGGGGGAAUAUUGCACAAUGGGGGAAACCCUGAUGCAGCGACGCCGCGUGAGUGAAGAAGUAGUUCGGGAUGUAAAGCGCUAUCAGCAGGGAAGAAAAUGACGGUACCUGACAAAGAAGCCCCGGCUAAAUACGUGCCAGCAGCCGCGGUAAUACGUCGGGGGCAAGCGUUAACAGGAUUUACUGGGUGGAAAGUGAGCGUAGGUGGCAGGGCAAGUCAGAUGUGAAAACCCGGGGCUCAACCCCGGGAGUGCAUUUGAAACUGUCCAGCUGGAGUGCAGGAGAGGUAAGCGGAAUUCCUAGUGUAGCGGUGAAAUGCAUAGAUAUUAGGAGGAACACCAGUGGCGAAGGCGGCUUACUGGACUGUAACUGACACUGAGGCUCGAAAGCGUGGGGAGCAAACAGGAUUAGAUACCCUGGUAGUC